This is a long non-coding RNA of Octopus sinensis (East Asian common octopus), 270 nucleotides long. RefSeq lists it as uncharacterized. The record is from RefSeq and is a predicted model, not a curated record. NCBI's taxonomy places the organism in Eukaryota, Metazoa, Mollusca, Cephalopoda, Octopoda, Octopodidae. The transcript is spliced from 2 exons.
GUAAAUAUAAGUGUGUGUGUGUGUAUGUAGUAUAUAUAUGUAUGUAUAUAUAUAUAUAUAUAUAAACACACACACGUACACAGAUGCACACUCACUCACACAGACAUACUUUAGCCAAAGAAGCUGAACUUUCACCAUGUUGUAGGAUUCGUCAGAAACUUAUCAUAUCUCUGAAGUUUCUUAGAUGAUUUGAAAAUAUUUUCUGGGCAUUGCUAAACAUUAAAACUAAAUUUGAAUAUAACACAGUUUGUACUAAAAGAAAAUAAACAU